UCAGCGCCGGCCCCGCGCUCCCGCCCAGCGCGCCCGGGGCGGGGCAGCGGCUCCGCCGGCCCAGCACGGCCCGGCACGGCCCGGCAGGGCUCGGCACGGCCCAACACGGCCCGGAAGGGCCCGGCAGGGCUCGGCACGGCCCAGCACGGCCCGGAACUGCCCGGCACGGCCCGGCAGGGCUCGGCACGGCCGAGGGUGGGGGCCGGGGCUGAGCGGCCGCCUUGCCGGAGGAGAAGGCGGCGGGCGGUGAUGUCAGUCCUAAUGAACACCAUCACCUUUGGAGACUGAAGAAACCAAUGGUCUCUGUCAAGACUCCUGCUUGGACUCACACUUCUUAAUGAGAAAGUGAAUGUUUAGGAAAUUCCACCAGAUCACAUGCCAGAAAUAAAAAUAGUAAAAAUAAA
This is a long non-coding RNA of Vidua chalybeata, 404 nucleotides long. RefSeq lists it as uncharacterized. The transcript is spliced from 2 exons. The record is from RefSeq and is a predicted model, not a curated record. Lineage: Eukaryota; Metazoa; Chordata; Aves; Passeriformes; Viduidae.